UGCCCCACCCCCACACAGGUUCUGCUGUAUACCCCUGUGAGAUCUUUGGAGGGCUCUGCUGAGGAAGGGGAGUGGGUCCCCACUGCACAGUUCCUGAUGUGAGAAAUACGUCCCCAGCUUGACUUCCUCUAACCUCUGCUCAGCCCUCCUAGCGUCCAUGCUGGCCCCUUGGAUGGGACACAGGGGACAGGGUAUAACCCAACCUCCUCAGGACGGGCUUGCUCUGUGACCACUCCCCUCUCUGCCAGGAGAUGUCCCUCCAGUUCCCUCUUCUUCAGCUCAGGCUGGUGUAUCUGCUUGUCAGAAUUCCAACUGUGGAAAGAGAUGCCAGUUUCCCCUUCUGGUAGGUUCCCCCACUCUGGAUAGACCUUCCUCUUAGAGCUCUUCUCACUAGGCUUAGAGGGCACGGGGACACCUCUCUCCUCUGCCACAUGCUCUCCUCAAUGGCUCAGACAGUUCUCAGCCCUUCCCAACACCAAUCUUCUGCCUGUGCAGACAGGUAGCUGACUGGGCAGGGCAGGACUCAUUACCUCUUGGUCAAUCCUGAACAAAGUAUCUGGCUCCAUUCUCAGCAGCUUUCUCUUGAGAAUGUUUGGUACUUAGUACCUACAUGAAAUUGCCACUUAACAUCUUGUUACACGAAUAUUAUCUUCCAACAGUCCCAGAAAGUUACCACAGUUAAGGAGGGAAGAGACCACCUCAUGCAUCACUUAUUUUAUUUUUAGAAAUCCAUAUAAAAUUUUUUUCAAUGAAGAAAAAAAACCUACCUCUAGUCACAUACACUGAAGAGGCUUUGUAUAUGGUUUAUAUACAUUUUAAAGACGUUACAAUAACUAUUUUCAUGUAUAAGCUAUGUCUUAAACUUAGAAAAAAUAGAACUUCUAUAAUUUCCAACAAUUAAUUGACUCAAUGCAAAUGGUAAAAAGUCAGACUUUUAAAAAAGAGUUGAAAGUAGAUGCAGUUAAUUGAGUUUUAGUUAUGGAGGUUGUUGAAGAAAAAGCUGAUAAUUUCAGAUACCGCAGUAAUUCUGUUGGCAAUAAAUAAUUCAUCAGGCUCAAAGAGCAGUUACUUCAGGGGGAUCAGCUGUAACUGGUGUCUUCAUAAUAUAAAAUGGCUCUUCUUCUAGACACAAUGGUUAUUAGACUGAGUGCCAGAAUGAUUUUUUUUAAAUGCAAAAGAGUUUCCACCACAGAAUUUCACUACAUUGAUGAAGAUAAUAUUUCGGGGUACAACUUGUACUGAAGUGCUGAGUUUUGAACAAUUCUGAGAAAGAAAAUACUGGUGAUAAGAUUUCAUCUAGGGUCCAAAUUCCUAGAAUAGUAGUAACUUAAAUCUAAGCUUCGAUUAAGCGUUAGAAUGUCUUCAUCUGUGAAGAACAAUAAUAGUAUUUGACCCACUUAUUUCAUCAGGUUGUUCUGUAAUUCGUUAAGCUUCAUGAGAGACGGAACUUUUUCACAGCUAAAUUUCUAGGACCUGGAAAGUAGAAGGCCGUCAAAUGUAUUUACUGAAUCAGUGGAAUCAUAGAAUGUGUUCAAAAGUUUCUUGGCAAAUAGUAAAGCACUACAGGAACAUUAAUUACUGCUGUUCGUCAUCAUUUGUAAUUGGUCCGCUUUGUUGUUGACACUUGUGCCUUCCGUCAACGACGUCACUGCUGACGUAUUUCUGGUAAAAGGCACCAGAAAUUAACCUUGCAGACUUUUUAUUAGAACACUUCUCAUCUUUCCUGAUAAAAGCUGACAAAGGGCUGCUCACUUCGUUGAAGACAGAAGGAACAUUUGUAAUUAGUACACCUCUAUGUUAAAGGCCAGCUUAUACAAUUCUAUAAAAGGACAUUAAACAUCCCUCUGCAAGUUCAUUUGCUUAUUUCUCAGGCUAACUUAGCUUAUCUGAACCUGAAUUACCAUGAUAUCCAAAUAAAUGGGGAUUAAGGAAAGGUGUGUAGUAGUCUUAUAACUGAGAUAUAAUUAAUAAUUUAAUGUUGAUUUCCUUGAUGAAGUGAAGGUAUAUAAUUUUAUCAUUAGUGUAGACCUCUCUCCUCACUCUGGAAAUGUCUUCUUAAAAUACAACACACAGCUCACUCAUUCUUGUCACCGUCCUGUAUCUCAGGUUACCAGGAAUUCAGUUCAGAAAAUACAACACACUUGCAUUCAAAUCUACUGACAAAAUGGAAAGCGUAUUCUCUCUCUUCAAGGUUUUCUUCCUAAAGGUGGACUUCUUUUCUGCUCAACUGGUAGCAAUCCAGUAGUUUAUAGUAUAUUCUCUCUUCCUCCUCAUCUAUUUCCCCCCUCUUUACCGGAGCAUUCUCAAACAGUGCUAUAACAUCUUCUACUAAAAGCCAACAGACUCCUUCCCUUGAUCACCUACUCAAUUUCUGCUCUUCUUUAAGAACCACAACACCCCAAGAGGUGCCUAUGCCGUCUCCAUGUUCCCUUUUUCUGUCCUCACUUGAGUCCACCUUUCUCCUGAGCUCCAGACUCAGACACCCAGUUGCCUUCUUGGCACCUCUACUUUGAUGAUUAAUAGGCAUCUUAACCUUAAAUGUCCAAACAAGCUCCUGCUUACCUCACCUUCUUUUUUAAGCCUUCUUGUCUUAGCAAAUGGCAAAUCCCUUCUUCCAGUGGGAAUCAUCCUUUUGCUCACAUUUCCCAUCCAGGAGCAAAUCCUGUUGAAUCCACUUCUACAGCCUUUUCAUCCUAUCACUGCCUGAUCCAAGCCACUACCUUUUCUCACUUGGAUUAUUCCAUGAGCUUGCAAACUGGUCUCAUUGCUUUCACCCUUGCCUCCUUAGUGCUUACUCUCAAUACAACAGCCACCAUGACCCGUUUGAAAUGAAAGCUGCAUUGUGCUGCUCUGCUCCAUUUAACUCAGGAAAAUCCAGAGUCCUAACGAUGGCCUGCAAGCAUCUCUGUCCUCUGCCACCCAUCUCCGCUUCAUCUGUCCACCCUCCGCUCCUACUAUUCUUCUUGCUGGUUCUGGACAGCAAAGCACACUCCUGCUUCAAGCCUUUGAAUGUGUCUCCCCUUCUGCCUGAGAUGUUCUUCCUCCAGCUACUGUGGGACUAGCUCCCUUAUCUCCCGCAGGCUCUACUCCAAUGUCACCUUCUCAGAGAAGACUUCCCUGAGCAUCUGGCAUAUUACAUCCAAAUUAAGUCUAUGUUUCCCACACUGUAAACAGAUUAUUCUUUCAAGCGGAAGUUGAACGUUUAAAAAAAGUUUACAGCAUAGGAAUCUGUCUCCCUGGCACCCUGACAUCAUUCCAGGAUAGCUACUGCAUCUUCUGAGCGCAAGGCAUGGGUCACAAAGUAAGUAGGAAACGGUUCUGCUUUUUGUCACUGUUUAUGGAAUGCAGACUGUUACAGACACAAUCCCUUUUCCACUGUCAGGACCCGUAGUAAACUGGGAUUCAGAGGCUGAUGGUGGGUAUUGGAAUGGAGCAAGCUGACAGUAGCUCCAUCUACCCACCAACACCAAUUAGGCUCUGAAAACCUGCCAACACUGUGUAGUUAGUUUAAUAAUAAUAAAAAAAAAAAAGUGUGUGAAUAGAGCCCUCUGGUCAGAUUCUACCAGAGAUGAAAUUUCCUGCCUUGUUCUAGCCCUGAAAAAAAAAUCAUUUUUUUCUCGGUUUCUCCCUUACUUUUGUCAUAAUUCUUUCACACUUCGGGUUGUUCAGAAAUUGACCAGAAAGAAUCCAACAAGAAAUAAGAAAGGUUCAGGGUGAAAGCUAAAGGUAUAAUGAAGCCCAUUCCUUCUCUUGGAUGCCAGCACUUCUAAAAUAAAACAAAAACAAACUUGAAGACUGAAUAAAACAGCUUCAAAGGCAAAAGAAAAAAGGGCACCCUAACAAAGGAAGGCUCGGGCAACAGCCAGCGGACUUGGCGGCUCCUUGAGCAGAGACUAAAAAGAGAUCCAUCAAAAGACGGAGUCAAAGGGACUCAGUUCAGGCAAGGAUUAAUGCACCAAACACCUCUGUCUUUUCUUCCAGCAGUGACAGCCCUGCAGCCCCUUCCUCCAGGGGCACUAACGGAACGCUGCCUGGAAAUCAGAAAACUGGAACCCUCUGUCUCUCCAGAGUUGUCCAGAGGCCGUGAGGCAGCCUCGGAUCACUUCUGUCCCUCUGCUGUUGAUACAGAAAAGGGGACUCUGGACUCGAGAAAAUCCUGCUUCCUGUCAUUUCUCCACCUUUCUGAAGAGCAGUCCUAUCAAACCUUCAUGACCGUGACCUUCCCCUGUGUCCACAGGGAAAUUCUUGGACAGAUCACCUGCUGGAAGUGAAAAGUCAGGCCAACAGUUGUUCUCGGUGUGAGACCCACUAUUGCUGGUGUCAGCAUUAAUCCAUGUAGCAAAAGUGGGAAGGACUAAAUACCAUUUUUGGUCCCAUCAAAAGUCCAUUGAUGCUCAACACUGCUUCUUGCAUCUGGUAACAAAGAUGUAUUGGAUAAAUCCAUUCAUUCACCAACGUUGAGACCCCACUAUCUCCUCAUAUUAUCCUUAUGUGAAAUAUGGACAAACGAGGUCUAGUUGAAUGAUUAUCUUAAAUGAUGCCCAUCC
Molecule: long non-coding RNA, 4547 nt
Organism: Acinonyx jubatus (cheetah)
Lineage: Eukaryota; Metazoa; Chordata; Mammalia; Carnivora; Felidae
Exons: 3
Source: RefSeq, a predicted model, not a curated record